GACGAACGCUGGCGGCGUGCUUAACACAUGCAAGUCGAACGGAAAGGCCCUGCUUUUGUGGGGUGCUCGAGUGGCGAACGGGUGAGUAACACGUGAGUAACCUGCCCUUGACUUUGGGAUAACUUCUGGAAACUGGGGCUAAUACCGGAUAGGAGCUCCUGCUGCAUGGUGGGGGUUGGAAAGUUUCGGCGGUUGGGGAUGGACUCGCGGCUUAUCAGCUUGUUGGUGGGGUAGUGGCUUACCAAGGCUUUGCCGGGUAGCCGGCCUGAGAGGGUGACCGGCCACAUUGGGACUGAGAUACGGCCCAGACUCCUACGGGAGGCAGCAGUGGGGAAUAUUGCACAAUGGGCGGAAGCCUGAUGCAGCAACGCCGCGUGCGGGAUGACGGCCUUCGGGUUGUAAACCGCUUUCGCCUGUGACGAAGCGUGAGUGACGGUAAUGGGUAAAGAAGCACCGGCUAACUACGUG
Molecule: ribosomal RNA, 468 nt
Filed under: uncultured bacterium
Lineage: Bacteria
Description: partial 16S ribosomal RNA
Rfam family: Bacterial small subunit ribosomal RNA
Source: RNAcentral